UGCGGAGGGUGCGAGCGUUAAUCGGAAUUACUGGGCGUAAAGCGUACGCAGGCGGCUAAUUAAGCCAGAUGUGAAAUCCCCGGGCUUAACCUGGGAAUGGCAUUUGGAACUGGUUAGCUAGAGUUUUGUAGAGGGUGGUAGAAUUUCAGGUGUAGCGGUGAAAUGCGUAGAGAUCUGAAGGGAUACCAGUGGCGAAGGCGGCCACCUGGACAAGAACUGACGCUCAUGUACGAAAGCGUGGGGAGCAAACAGG
This 253-nucleotide ribosomal RNA is filed under the name uncultured bacterium. Its description in RNAcentral is "partial 16S ribosomal RNA". It matches the Rfam family "Bacterial small subunit ribosomal RNA", at positions 524 to 776 of the family's 1533-position model. The record is from RNAcentral.